RNAcentral lists this non-coding RNA (26 nucleotides) under Mus musculus (house mouse). The record is from RNAcentral. Lineage: Eukaryota; Metazoa; Chordata; Mammalia; Rodentia; Muridae.
UGGGACUAUUGAUGCUGGUUAGCUGG